This 318-nucleotide ribosomal RNA is filed under the name uncultured eukaryote. Its description in RNAcentral is "partial 18S ribosomal RNA". It matches the Rfam family "Eukaryotic small subunit ribosomal RNA", at positions 1470 to 1796 of the family's 1831-position model. The record is from RNAcentral.
CCCUUAGAUGUCCUGGGCCGCACGCGUGCUACACUGACGCAUACAGCGAGCACUUUCCAGUUCCGAGAGGCUACUGGUAAUCAUCAAUAUGCGUCGUGAUGGGGAUAGAUCUUUGGAAUUCUGGAUCUUGAACGAGGAAUGCCUAGUAAUCGCAGGCCAUUAGCCUGCGAUGAUUAAGUCCCUGCCCUUUGUACACACCGCCCGUCGCUACUACCGAUUUCGAGUGGUCAGGUGAAUCUUUCGGACUGUGGGCGCCCUUGAGGUGUUCGCGGAAAGUCAGGUAAAUCUUAUCACUUAGAGGAAGUAAAAGUCGUAACA